UCUUUUUCUUUUGUCUCCCCUUUUUCUUCAAAAUUCUCCCAAGAGUGGGAGGGAGAUAGCGUAGAGGCGAGGCAGUCUGAGUGAUUGCAUCUCCCACCCAAACGUUCACAUCUCAAUCAAUCUAAUCGAAAGCCAGGGUGAAGGAAGAAGAAGAAGAAGCAGAGGAAGAAGAAGCGGAAGAGGCAGAUAUGGGAUGGCUGUCCAACAAGAUCAAGAGGGACCGACUCAAGCGUGGGGAUCACAUCUACUCUUGGCGUCACUUGUACCUCUACGCUCACCACGGAAUAUACGUCGGUAAAGGGAAGGUUAUUCACUUCACUCGAGGGGCAGGACACGAAAUCGGCAGGGGUACUGUGUUAGACCCCAUCAUUUCGAGCUCAUGUCCCCCUCCUCCUGUCGGUACACAAUGCCAGAUAUGUGGAGAUCAGUCGAGACUUGAUGGUGUCAUCUCUUCCUGCAUCGACUGCUUCCUUUCAGGUGGAAACCUCUACCUCUUUGAGUACGGCGUGUCCCGUGCUUUCCAUCUUGCUAGCCCUCGAGGGACUUGCACCCUUGCGGAAUCCGACCCCCCUGAAGAUGUGCUUCACCGUGCCUUUUACCUCCUCCAGAAUGGCUUUGGAGGCUACAAUCUUUUCAAGAACAACUGUGAGGACUUUGCUAUCUACUGUAAAACGGGUCUGCUUGUGGUGACAGUAUGUAUCGGAGGCCGAAGUGGGCAAGCAGCAGCUUUUCAGGCUGCUAAAAGUGCUGUCGGGUCCUUUCCACUUACAUUCUUGACGGUCCGUGUUACUGGCCUGGCAGUUGGUGGUCUGGCAGUUGGUGGUCUGGCAGCUGGUGGUCUGGCAGCUGUGAGUUAUAGCAAGUAUUGCGUCAGUCGUUUGGCCUCUGACGUUGGGUUUCGCCAUGAUGUGGUUAAAGUACCGGCCGAAAGACUUGUGGGUCUACUUCAUUUAUGUGAUCCCCAAGCUGCUGUGGAUAGUCCCACUCCCAGUCGUAUUCUCAUAGCCGAGAUUGACUAAAGAUUGCACGCUGCAAUUUGCCGGCAGUCUCCACCAGAACUUUGCCGGCAGUGGAGAUGAAAACACUCUGCAAAAUUUUAGCAACACUUGAAGGGCUGGCCAUGGUCACGGAAGACAGACAUAGAGCUGGCUAUGGUCGAGCGAGAUUGAAGGACGUGAGCAUCAUUAAGGCACAAUGAGCGUCGUUUGACCCUUGCCAUGGUUGACUGAGGGCCACCAACCAACCCUCACAAGCUGAGGCAAGGGCUGUGCAGAUCGUCGCUCAUAAUAAACAUCAUUUCAUGGAACUUUCUUCAAUAUAGGCCAAGGAACGAAUGGUGCAAAUGCGACAAAUUCCAUGUCCGAGCCUUGUCUACUAUGCAGAAUACAAGUGGAGCCAUACCUUACGCAUGCUAAUACAUGUAGACAGGGCAGAAAGAAAGCGAAGAUGAAGAAAGGAUUCGGGGGUUGCAAGAAUGGCGGGCGACAGAUCACGGGAGAAGGUGGGGUAGGGAAGGUUUCAAUGGCGUCCAAUCCAAUCCCCACCGUCCAUCCGCAGCUCCCCGAUUGCCUUCCCUCCAGAAAAUAAACCCCUCCCUCUCUCUACUUUAAAAAAGAAAAAUUGUAAAUUUAAUUAACAGCCCGGUACAUGCGGGCCGGGUCAGAUAUCGGGCUUUCGAAUCAUCGCUCGCAGCUGUUCAACGAAUUCAAAAAUGUUAAAUGUUGUUCUUACAAUGUCUGGGCUUGAACGGACCUAUUUAAGGUUGUUUCGGAGUAUUCGACGUGGAGACCAAAAAUGAAUUACUUACCAUUC
Molecule: RNA transcript, 1812 nt
Organism: Eucalyptus grandis
Lineage: Eukaryota; Viridiplantae; Streptophyta; Magnoliopsida; Myrtales; Myrtaceae
Exons: 3
Source: RefSeq, a predicted model, not a curated record